GACGAACGCUGGCGGCGUGCUUAACACAUGCAAGUCGAACGGAAAGGCCCUGCUUUUGUGGGGUGCUCGAGUGGCGAACGGGUGAGUAACACGUGAGUAACCUGCCCUUGACUUUGGGAUAACUUCAGGAAACUGGGGCUAAUACCGGAUAGGAGCUCCUGCUGCAUGGUGGGGGUUGGAAAGUUUCGGCGGGUGGGGAUGGACUCGCGGCUUAUCAGCUUGUUGGUGGGGUAGUGGCUUACCAAGGCUUUGACGGGUAGCCGGCCUGAGAGGGUGACCGGCCACAUUGGGACUGAGGUACGGCCCAGACUCCUACGGGAGGCAGCAGUGGGGAAUAUUGCACAGUGGGCAGAAGCCUGAUGCAGCAACGCCGCGUGCGGGAUGACGGCCUUCGGGUUGUAAACCGCUUUCGCCUGUGACGAAGCGUGAGUGACGGUAAUGGGUAAAGAAGCACCGGCUAACUACGUG
This 468-nucleotide ribosomal RNA is filed under the name uncultured bacterium. RNAcentral describes it as "partial 16S ribosomal RNA". It matches the Rfam family "Bacterial small subunit ribosomal RNA", at positions 28 to 507 of the family's 1533-position model. The record is from RNAcentral.